UGGGGAAUAUUGGACAAUGGGCGCAAGCCUGAUCCAGCCAUGCCGCGUGUGUGAAGAAGGCCUUUCGGUUGUAAAGCACUUUAAGCGAGGAGGAGGCUACUUGGAUUAAUACUCUAAGAUAGUGGACGUUACUCGCAGAAUAAGCACCGGCUAACUCUGUGCCAGCAGCCGCGGUAAUACAGAGGGUGCGAGCGUUAAUCGGAUUUACUGGGCGUAAAGCGUGCGUAGGCGGCUUCUUAAGUCGGAUGUGAAAUCCCUGAGCUUAACUUAGGAAUUGCAUUCGAUACUGGGAAGCUAGAGUAUGGGAGAGGAUGGUAGAAUUCCAGGUGUAGCGGUGAAAUGCGUAGAGAUCUGGAGGAAUACCGAUGGCGAAGGCAGCCAUCUGGCCUAAUACUGACGCUGAGGUACGAAAGCAUGGGGAGCGAACAGG
RNAcentral lists this ribosomal RNA (430 nucleotides) under bacterium. RNAcentral describes it as "partial 16S ribosomal RNA". It matches the Rfam family "Bacterial small subunit ribosomal RNA", at positions 355 to 776 of the family's 1533-position model. The record is from RNAcentral.